This 505-nucleotide long non-coding RNA is filed under the name Nicotiana benthamiana. RNAcentral describes it as "long non-coding RNA (NBEN_LNC003737)". The record is from RNAcentral. Lineage: Eukaryota; Viridiplantae; Streptophyta; Magnoliopsida; Solanales; Solanaceae.
AAAAUAUAUAAUUAUAGCUAAAUAUUACUAUCCCACACUUAAACGUUGCUCGUCCUCGAAUCAACCAACAAUUCAUAUUUACCACAUUGAAGCAUACUACACCAAUAACCAUGGUUGAUAGCAACAAUUAAACAUUAGGAUGUGCAAUCACUUAUACUUCACUUUACUCAUGCCAUUCUUCAAAAAUAUUCAAACAGAGACAAUAUGUUCAUGACAAUCCUUGCCUCAAAAUCUACUCAAUGUUACAAUGCACUCAUGGCUUGAACACCCAACAUCCUAGAGAAGUCUAAUAAUGCUACCUAUCCUUCGUGAAAUCAUGUGCCCUCACAACCAAGGCAAGAGAGUAAGUUGAAUCCACACAUUCGAAUAUCAUGAUAAAAUAUAUUUUAAGUACUCAUAUAUAUCAAAGAAAAUAUUGCUCACCAUCGCAAAAGAAGUCACAUGCAUGUAACUGGUACCAUAUGCUUGCCCUUAAUGUAAAUCUCUACUAAUGUAGGCUCGCUCG